This 164-nucleotide ribosomal RNA is filed under the name Miconia polyflora. RNAcentral's name for it is "Mecranium multiflorum 5.8S ribcosomal RNA". It matches the Rfam family "5.8S ribosomal RNA". From Rfam's summary of the family: 5.8S ribosomal RNA (5.8S rRNA) is a component of the large subunit of the eukaryotic ribosome. It is transcribed by RNA polymerase I as part of the 45S precursor that also contains 18S and 28S rRNA. Lineage: Eukaryota; Viridiplantae; Streptophyta; Magnoliopsida; Myrtales; Melastomataceae. RNAcentral also lists the same sequence under 14 other names. The record is from RNAcentral.
UAAACGACUCUCGGCAACGGAUAUCUCGGCUCUUGCAUCGAUGAAGAACGUAGCGAAAUGCGAUACUUGGUGUGAAUUGCAGAAUCCCGCGAACCAUCAAUUCUUUGAACGCAAGUUGCGCCCGAAGCCAUUCGGCCGAGGGCACGCCUGCCUGGGUGUCGUGA